Molecule: ribosomal RNA, 468 nt
Filed under: Poospiza nigrorufa (black-and-chestnut warbling-finch)
Lineage: Eukaryota; Metazoa; Chordata; Aves; Passeriformes; Thraupidae
Description: Poospiza whitii (black-and-chestnut warbling-finch) partial 16S ribosomal RNA
Rfam family: Bacterial large subunit ribosomal RNA
Source: RNAcentral
UAUCCUAACCGUGCAAAGGUAGCGCAAUCAAUUGUCCCAUAAAUCGAGACUAGUAUGAAUGGCUAAACGAGGUCUUAACUGUCUCUUACAGGCAAUCGGUGAAAUUGAUCUCCCUGUACAAAAGCAGGGAUAAACCCAUAAGACGAGAAGACCCUGUGGAACUUUAAAACCAGCAACCACCUUAAAUCACACACUCACCCACCGGGUUCACUGACACAUAAGAUGCUGGUCUGCGUUUUUCGGUUGGGGCGACCUUGGAGCAAAACAAAACCUCCAAAGAUUGGACCAUACCUCUAGACUGAGAGCAACCCCUCAACGUGCUAAUAGCACCCAGACCCAAUACAAUUGAUCAAUGGACCAAGCUACCCCAGGGAUAACAGCGCAAUCUCCUCCGAGAGUCCGUAUCGACGGGGAGGUUUACGACCUCGAUGUUGGAUCAGGACAUCCUAGUGGUGCAGCCGCUACUAA